GGGCCUGUGGCCAAGUCUGGAUAUAAGGCAUCCGGCUUUUAACCGGGAGAUCAGGGGUUCAAAUCCCCUUGGGCCCA
Molecule: transfer RNA, 77 nt
Filed under: Methanobrevibacter sp.
Lineage: Archaea; Methanobacteriati; Methanobacteriota; Methanobacteria; Methanobacteriales; Methanobacteriaceae
Description: tRNA-Lys
Rfam family: tRNA
About the family: Transfer RNA (tRNA) molecules are approximately 80 nucleotides in length.
Source: RNAcentral